CCAACUCGUCGAAGCAGUCCGGUCGCACCCCCAAAUCGUCCUUCACGCCUUCGUUAACGCACGUGUCCACCCUGGACCUGCUGCGGACUCCCAGCUGCAGUCCCAGUCCGCCGCCGCCCAACCUGCCGCAAGUCUGAGGUUAGCUCACUUUGGUCGGCGGCUCGCAGUCGGCGACAGCCUCGACCCGUCCGUCGCCGUCUGUCGCCUUCAGGAACACACUGAACAGGGGUCGGCGCAGGUCCCUCGACGACGAGCGGCGGCGGAAGCCGUGGUUUUGUGCGCUAUAUAUACAUAUUUUGAUGUGCUUUCAGUGUCCCACGGUUGUGCGAUGAGUCAGCACCACAUGGCGCGGAGCCAUGCCAUGCUGGUGUUGGAAAAUACACAGCGGCAGUUUCCUGC
This is a long non-coding RNA of Pollicipes pollicipes, 399 nucleotides long. RefSeq lists it as uncharacterized. The record is from RefSeq and is a predicted model, not a curated record. The transcript is spliced from 2 exons. NCBI's taxonomy places the organism in Eukaryota, Metazoa, Arthropoda, Thecostraca, Pollicipedomorpha, Pollicipedidae.